RNAcentral lists this transfer RNA (50 nucleotides) under Argyroneta aquatica (water spider). Its description in RNAcentral is "tRNA-Glu". The record is from RNAcentral. Lineage: Eukaryota; Metazoa; Arthropoda; Arachnida; Araneae; Dictynidae.
GGUAAAGUAGUGAAGUUCACGUCAUUAUUUCAUGAUGAAUAUGGUUAGUC